RNAcentral lists this ribosomal RNA (497 nucleotides) under uncultured bacterium. RNAcentral's name for it is "partial 16S ribosomal RNA". It matches the Rfam family "Bacterial small subunit ribosomal RNA", at positions 28 to 507 of the family's 1533-position model. The record is from RNAcentral.
GAUGAACGCUGGCGGCGUGCCUAAUACAUGCAAGUCGAGCGAACAGACGAGGAGCUUGCUCCUUCGACGUUAGCGGCGGACGGGUGAGUAACACGUAGGUAACCUACCUAUAAGACUGGGAUAACUUCGGGAAACCGGAGCUAAUACCGGAUAAUAUUUCGAACCGCAUGGUUCGAUAGUGAAAGAUGGCUUUGCUAUCACUUAUAGAUGGACCUGCGCCGUAUUAGCUAGUUGGUAAGGUAACGGCUUACCAAGGCAACGAUACGUAGCCGACCUGAGAGGGGGAGAGGCGACAAUGGAAAUGAGACACGGGAGAGAGAACUAAGGGAGGCAGCAGGGGGGAAGAGUGAGAAAUGGGUGAAAGCAUGAAGGAGCAAAGACGAGUGAGUGAUGAAGGUGUUAGGAUCGGAAAAAGCUGUGACUAGGCAAGAACAGAAGUCUACGUAACUCUGCACACCAGGACGGUAGAUAAUCAGAAAGCCACGGCUAACUACGUG